RNAcentral lists this ribosomal RNA (431 nucleotides) under uncultured Alphaproteobacteria bacterium. Its description in RNAcentral is "bacterial SSU rRNA". It matches the Rfam family "Bacterial small subunit ribosomal RNA", at positions 8 to 456 of the family's 1533-position model. Lineage: Bacteria; Pseudomonadati; Pseudomonadota; Alphaproteobacteria. The record is from RNAcentral.
AGAGUUUGAUCCUGGCUCAGAACGAACGCUGGCGGCAGGCCUAACACAUGCAAGUCGAAACGUGAAGCCACCUUCGGGUGGUGGAAAGUGGCAGACGGGUGAGUAACGCGUGGGAACGUGCCUUUCGGUUCGGGAUAACCCAGGGAAACUUGGGCUAAUACCGGAUACGCCCUUCGGGGGAAAGAUUCAUUGCCGAAAGAUCGGCCCGCGUCGGAUUAGCUAGUUGGUGGGGUAAAAGCCUACCAAGGCGACGAUCCGUAGCUGGUCUGAGAGGAUGACCAGCCACACUGGGACUGAGACACGGCCCAGACUCCUACGGGAGGCAGCAGUGGGGAAUAUUGGACAAUGGGCGCAAGCCUGAUCCAGCCAUGCCGCGUGGGUGAAGAAGGCCCUAGGGUUGUAAACCCCUUUCAGCGGGGAAGAUAAUGACG